This 381-nucleotide ribosomal RNA is filed under the name uncultured eukaryote. Its description in RNAcentral is "partial 18S ribosomal RNA". It matches the Rfam family "Eukaryotic small subunit ribosomal RNA", at positions 592 to 976 of the family's 1831-position model. The record is from RNAcentral.
CAAUAGCGUAUAUUAAAGCUGUUGCGGUUAAAAAGCUCGUAGUUGGAUUUCUGUCAAGGACAACUGGUCCGCCCUCCGGGUGAGCACAUAGUUUGGUCUUGGCAUCUUGCUGGAAACUGUUGCUGCGCUUGGUUGUGUGGUGCAGCUUUCAGCACUUUCACUUUGAGGAAAUUGGAGUGUUUCAAGCAGGCACAUGCCUUUGGACACAGUAGCAUGGAAUAAUUAGAUUGGGCUUUUGCUCCAACUUGUUGGUUCCUGGAGCUGAGGUGAGAAUCAAUGGGGAUUGUUGGGGGCAUCCGAAUUUAGCCGUCAGAGGUGAAAUUCUUGGAUCUGCUAAAGACGGACAACUGCGAAAGCGUUUGCCCAGGAUGUUUUCACUGA